This 542-nucleotide ribosomal RNA is filed under the name Palaemon semmelinkii. RNAcentral describes it as "partial 16S ribosomal RNA". It matches the Rfam family "Bacterial large subunit ribosomal RNA", at positions 1828 to 2628 of the family's 2925-position model. The record is from RNAcentral. Lineage: Eukaryota; Metazoa; Arthropoda; Malacostraca; Decapoda; Palaemonidae.
AACAUGUCUAUAUGUAUAUAAUAUAAAGUAUAGUCUGCCCACUGAGUUUUAAAGGGCUGCGGUAUUUUGACCGUGCAAAGGUAGCAUAAUCAGUUGUCUUUUAAUUGAAGGCUAGAAUGAACGGCUGGAUGAGGGAAAGACUGUCUCUUUUGUAAUUCUAUAAUUUGACUUUUAAGUGAAAAGGCUUAAAUUUUCUAGGGGGACGAUAAGACCCUAUAAAACUUUAUAUUUUAAUUUUUUGCUUUAGAUUAUAAAUUAAAAUUGCAAAGUUAUUUAAAUAUUUCGUUGGGGCGACGUUGAUAAAAUCUUAACUGUCUGUAUAAAAGUUAUAGUAAUUACUAGCAUAUGAUCCUUCUUUUGAGGAUAAUAAGAAUAAGUUACUUUAGGGAUAACAGCGUAAUUUUCCUUGAGAGUUCUUAUCGAAAGGAAUAGUUGCGACCUCGAUGUUGAAUUAAAAUUUCUUUUAGGUGUAGCCGCUUAAAUAGUAGGUCUGUUCGACCUUUAAAAUUUUACAUGAUUUGAGUUCAAACCGGUGUGAGCCA